UUAUAAUUGUAUAAAUUAUAUUCAAUUUUUCUAUUUGUAUAAAAUUAACUGGUUUAUUAUUUA
This 63-nucleotide transfer RNA is filed under the name Nemopilema nomurai. Its description in RNAcentral is "tRNA-Glu". Lineage: Eukaryota; Metazoa; Cnidaria; Scyphozoa; Rhizostomeae; Rhizostomatidae. The record is from RNAcentral.